GCCAGGCAUGGUUGUGUGUGUCUGUAGUCCCAGCUACUCAGGAGGCUGAGGCAGGAGGAUUGCUUGAGCCCAGGAAGUCUAGGGUGCAGUAAGCCGUGAUCAUGCCAUUGCACUCAGCCUGGGUGACAGAGCAAGACCCUGUCUCAA
Molecule: unclassified non-coding RNA, 147 nt
Organism: Callithrix jacchus (white-tufted-ear marmoset)
Lineage: Eukaryota; Metazoa; Chordata; Mammalia; Primates; Cebidae
Rfam family: Metazoan signal recognition particle RNA
About the family: The signal recognition particle (SRP) is a universally conserved ribonucleoprotein. It is involved in the co-translational targeting of proteins to membranes. The eukaryotic SRP consists of a 300-nucleotide 7S RNA and six proteins: SRPs 72, 68, 54, 19, 14, and 9.
Source: Ensembl